UGCGGCCGACUAAUUUUAAAAGAAAUCCAAAAAAAGUAUGUUAUUAGAUAAUUGUCUUUAUCUUAAAUAAAUGCAAAACCGACAAAAAGUCAUCAAUGACAUAUGGUGUGGACUUUGGACUGUAUUCAGUGCAGAACAACCAAAUUAAUUGAUCUUAUUGUAUUAAUCAUCUUCCCCUACUAAUUUCUUUCAUCCACCAAUUAUCACUCUACACAAAAAUGGCUACAAUUACAUCCAUAAUUCUCUUCACCUUGUUGACACUCUUUUUCAUAUUGGNUAAUUUCUUUCAUCCACCAAUUAUCACUCUACACAAAAAUGGCUACAAUUACAUCCAUAAUUCUCUUCACCUUGUUGACACUCUUUUUCAUAUUGGCAUGGAGGAUUUUGAAUUGGUUAUGGUUGAAGCCAAAGAAGCUAGAGAAAUUCCUAAGAGAACAAGGACUAAAAGGGAAUUCAUAUAGGCUUUUAGUUGGAGACAUGAAUGAUCUUCUUAAGAUGAGAAAGGAAGCAACAUCUAAACCUAUGAAUCUUUCUGAUGAUAUUGUUCCUCGUGUGUUUUCCUUUGUCCAACAAAGUGUUGCAAAACAUGGUAUGUCUCUCUUCUUACUCCUCUUUUUAAUUUCUAGUUUUACUAUAUUUAUAUAAUGAAGAAUAACAAUAAAGUACUAGUUUAGUUUCCCUCAACUAUACUAGUUAGUAAUAAAAAAAUCAAUUUGUAAAAUUCUAUAAAAAUAAUAGAAUUUUUUUUUUUUUUAGAUUAACAGUGAGGAGUGUAAAGUGAGGGAAGGUCUGACAAUAUUUUUACUUAAGUACAGACAAUCUCCAUCUCAUAAACCAACUUUGUAAGGAUGAUUUAAACUCAAUUUUAAAAUGGUAUUAGAGUCUAUGGAUUCGGGACACCCAACAUUUAUACACAAACCAAGCCCAAAAGUGAUGGAAGUGAGGGGUGUGUUGGGAAAAACUUAAAUCCCACAUUGAAAAGAUAAGAAUUAUGAUAAGAGUUUAUAAAAAGAGGCACCCCUCACCUUACAAGCCAGUUUAUAAGGUUGAGUUAGGGUCAAUAUCAAAAUAUAAAAUGGCAUUAGAGUUUCAAAAUCUAACAUGGUAUCAUAGUUUAUCAAUUCGCGCCACCCACCAUUUAUACACGCACCAAACCGAAUAGUGUUGUGUCGGGGCCAACCACAAUUUCUAACAUGGCAUCAGAGCCUCCAAAAGGUUUCCGCCAUCAAAUUACAAAUUGCAUUGCAUUCAACUAUCUACUAGUUGACAACCAUCCUAUUUCCUAAUUGACUUCCCUGUUAUUUCCAACUGAGUAAUUUUGUUGGUUACUCUCAUUGUAAUUCUCUGUAUCAGCUUCCACCACUUAAAGUUAAGGAGUGGAUCAAGAACCAAAUUUUUUGAUUAAAGCCAAUAUAAAUACCAACACAUAAAUUGCACUUACUGACUGAUACUAAACUGACAUUAUCAGGAUAUAAUUUCCUCUUAAAUUGAUAGCAUGUUUUUAUAAAAUAGUAUUCUGAUCCAAAUUUACUCCCUCCGGUCACAUUUAUAAGCAAAAAACAACUUUUUAGGUUCAUUCAAUAAUUAAUGUAUCUGACCUUUAUAUAGACUAGAUACAUUAGUUAUUCAAUAAACCUAAACAAUUUUUUUUGCUUAUAAAUGUGACCAGAAAGAAUGUAGUUAAUACUUAUUUCUUUGAAAUGAAUGACAUCGGUUUAUCAAACUUUGAUGUUAAUCAUUAAGAUUCAUAGUCUUCAUGAUUGUGAUUUUGAUCACUGAUCAUGCUGGGCAGUAGGCUCAAAACAUUACAACAUUGCUAUUCCUUCCAAUAUGUUACUAGCCUGAAUUAAAAUGAUAUUACUUCCUUGUUUGUUCAUGAGGUGUCAGUUCAGUGAAAAGAGUUUGAUUAUGUGGUCUAUUGCUUCGCUAUGGCGGGUUAUGACUUCACAAAUUGGCUAUGGCAUUCAUAAAAAAACCAGCCACACCAUUUGGCCAUCGCCGCCAUUUAACAACACUGUAUGUUUUACAAUACUAUCCUGCACCUUGUUCACUUUGGUGAUUUUUCAAAUUGGCAAUAAUACCUAAAUAUAUAAUAUAAACACUUAAAGUUCUGUAUUCAAAGAUUCCGGAAGCAAAUAGUACACUAUAAUAAGUUGCUAAUUCUCAUCAAUUCUUGAUAUUUAUAUACUUUUUUCAUAUCUUCGGCGUGCAGGAAAGAACUCUUUUAUCUGGUUUGGACCAACACCAAGGGUGAACAUAACAGAUCCUGAUAUGAUUAGAGAUGUAUUUAACAAAAUGUACGACUUCCAAAAGCCUAAUGCGAAUCCGCUUGGAAAGUUACUAGCUAAUGGCCUUGCAAGUCAUGAGGGAGAACAGUGGAGCAAGCACAGAAAGAUUAUCAACCCUGCAUUCCAUGUAGAAAAAUUGAAGGAAAGUUUCCCUUUACUAGAUAUAGAAUCCAAUUGUGUUUAUCUAGUCCGCAACAUAUAAUUGUUCAAGCAUCACAAUUAGGUUUAUAAGAAAACAUGAUUUGAAUUCUUAAUGCACAUGUGCUUAGUUUAACACCUCUUUGUCUCUUACAAACAGAUCAUGUUACCAAUAUACCUCAAAAGAUGCGAUGAUCUGAUUAGCAAAUGGGAGAAAAUGUUGGCUUCAGAUGGAUCAUGUGAAAUGGAAGUAUGGCCUUUCCUUCAAAAUUUAGCAAGAGAUGUUAUUUCUCGAGCUGCAUUUGGAAGUAGUUAUGAAGAGGGAAAAAGAAUAUUUCAACUUCAAACCGAACAAGCCAAACUUACAAUGUCAAUUAUGACAAAAGUUUACAUCCCUGGAUGGAGGUAAGAUUAAUAUUUAUAUCACAAGUUGAAUUAGAAAAAGCUAUAUUUUGGAUAAAACUAAGCACUAGAUUAUAGUGAUACAGUAAAUGGAAAUUUGGAUCCUCUAAAAUUAAGUUAAAAUAAAGUAAGAAAACCAAAAAAAAAUAUUUCAACGCAUGUCACAUGGUUUGUUAUACUUGUGCUUGUAAUAACAACCAUUGAUUAAUUAAUCAAUGGUUUAUAGUAUUGAAUACUCUAAAGUGAAUUGUUCACUUUGGAAGAGUAAGAUCAAAGAAAUAGCAUUCAAUUCAGAUCAUUUGAAUUACAUAAAAAUUAUGUUUAUUUUGAAGGUUUCUACCAACUACUACACAUAGGAGAAUGAAAGAAAUUGAAAGAGACGUAAAAGCAUCGCUUACAGAUAUAAUUAACAAGAGAGAAAGAGCACUAAAAGCAGGUAAAGCAACUAAGGAUGACUUAUUAGGUAUACUUUUAGAGUCAAAUCAAAAAGAAAUGGAAGAACAAGGCAACAAUAAGAAUGUUGGAAUGAGUCUUGAUGAUGUAAUAGAGGAAUGCAAGCUCUUCUACUUUGCAGGACAAGAGACCACUUCUGUUUUGCUUGUUUGGACAAUGGUGUUGUUGAGUAGGUAACCAGAUUGGCAAGAACGUGCAAGGGAAGAAGUAUUACAAGUAUUUGGCAACAAUAAACCAGAAUUUGACGGGCUAAGUCAUCUUAAGAUCGUAAGUAUUAUGUACUUCCCUUCAUGUUAAACAAUAUAUGCCGUCAUACUUAACAUUGAUGUAACUCUUUUUGAUACAGGUCACUAUGAUUUUGUACGAGGUUCUUAGGUUAUACCCACCAGAAAUCGCGCUUACUCGAAGUGAUCACAAAGAUAUGACACUUGGAAACCUAACAUUACCUGCAGGAGUGCAGGUUUUCUUAUCGAUAAUUUUGGUUCACCAUGACAUAGAACUAUGGGGUGAAGAUGCUAAGGUGUUCAAUCCCGAGAGAUUUUCAGAAGGUGUUUUAAAAGCAACAAAUGGAAGAAAUUCAUUUAUUCCAUUUGAAGGGGGUCCUAGAAUUUGAAUUGGACAAAACUUUUCCAUGUUGGAAGCAAAGAUGGCAAUAGCAAUGAUUUUACAACGUUUCUCAUUUGAACUUUCUCCAUCUUAUGCUCAUGCCCCGGCUACGGUAAUUACGCUUCAGCCACAAUAUGGUGCUCAUAUAAUUCUACGUAAAGUGGAAUUGUAAAAUUUAUAAUUUGCUUAUUCCACUAUUAGAAUGCUUGUAAUGAUGCUUAUAAAAAAAAUAAAAAAUCCUAUGAUGUAAAAUAGAAAGCUCAUAGUAUAAUAAAAGAAUAUUUGUUCUGAGAUAUCAACCCUUUAAGUGGAUCCCUAUACCUACCCUGCAGGAAGCCAUAUUGUUUAUGUACAGGUUGGAAAUUGGCAUGUAUGAUGUAAGUGUUCUUCCCAAACAAAAAGUUGUCUAUGCCAAGUUAAGUUCCACUCCCUUGAAAUAAUGUUUCCCUCCAUCAGUUCUCCCACACCAGCCUCUCGACUGUUCCCUACCCUUCUCAAAACCUACGGAUUAAACCAACCUUGCCCACCAAACAUAUCAAAAUUAACAAUAUUUUUCCACUACCUUGAUGUAUGUCUCGGCCACUCCACAUCUCCACCUCCAUCCACCUCAUCACUCCAAAACCAUAUUUCUCUAUUAGCGCAUCUUUCCAAAGAGCCCCUUCCCGUCCAAUAACAUUCAUCUCCAUUUAGCCAAUAAACUUACAUUAACCACCCGGAUAUCACUCACUCUAAGAUCUCCAUUCUCCUUCCUUUGACACACCGACUUCAAUUUGACCCAACUAAUUUUCCUACCUCCUCCCACACCACUCCAAAAAAACUCUCUUUGGAUCCUAACAAACUUUUUCCACACCGCUACAUGCAUCUUCAAAAAUAAUAAAAAGAAGAUAGGUAUUGAAUUCAAUACGGAAUUAAUAAGAACAACUCUACCUCGAAGACUGAUAUAUUUGUGCCCCCACGAAUUCAACUUUCGGUUUAGAAGAUCCAAUAUUGGUUUUCAUUGUUGUCAAAAUCCUGAUUUAAAUUCUAAAAUCUAGGAUUUUUCGACUUUCUUCGCCUUCAACGACUCAAAUCCAUAGUAGAAUCUCAAAAUAGACAAAAUCCAUCGAUUUUGAUUGCAAUUUUACGAUUUCUUAUAAACUAAGUCAUUUAUUACUAUAUACCAUUUAUAACAGGCUUAAAUGUGAAAAUAGUCCCUGCAAAUAUCUGACAUUUUGGUUUUAGUCCCUGUAAAAGUAUUUUUUUGAUUUUAGUCCCUGUAAAAACAAAAAUUUGGUUUUGGUCCUUGGUAUUUUGUUUUAGUCCUUGUAAAAUUGAUUCAUAUUGGAUUUGGUCCUUGUAAUAUGUAGAAUAUUUGAUUUUAGUCCCUCAAAAUGAGGACUAAAAUGAAUAUUAUAAGCACCAAUUUCAAUAUGAAAUGAUUUUACAAGGAUUAAAACAAAAUAACAAAGACCAAAACCAAAAAUUCUAUAUUUGCAGGGACUAAAACCAAAAAAAUAUUUUUACAGGGACUAAAACCAAAAUGUCAGAUAUUUGCCGGGACCAUUUCCAUAUUUAAGCCUUUAUAACAUAUAUUUAGUAUUAAUUUUUUGGGGUAAAAUCCAUCUAUUUUGAUUGCGAUUUUACAAUUUCCUAUAUCGAUUCUAUAAAAGUCCUUGAGUAAAAUCAUUCGAUUUUGAUUGCGAUUUUAUGAGUCCCGAUUUUUCUAUUGCUUUUCGACCUGAAGUAAUGUCCCGAUUUUGACAACCUUACCGGUUCCCACGUUAACAUACUCUUGCCUUUGCACCCACUGGUAACCAAAAGUACUUAAAAGGAAUACUACCUUGACUACAAUUCAAGAACGUGCACACCAUAUCCAUAAACUCCAACACUACAUUAACCCCUAUCAAACAACUCUUUGAAAAAUUGAUCUUCAACCCGGACGCCAUCUCAAAACCUUUCAAACGAGCUUUUAGAGUCCAAAGAUUGUUCAUUGUUGCCUUCCCAAUACAAAGAGUGUCAUCCGCAUACUGGAAAUGAGACACCUCUACAUUUUCACUAGAAAACUGAAAGUCUUCAAACAUGUUUAGAGAUACUACAUUCUGCAUCAACCCGCUAAAACCUUCCGCCACGAAUAAAAACAAAAAAGGUGCUAGCAGAUCUCCUUGUUUAAGCCCCUUUUCAAUACUAAUUUCGUCUGUUGGACUACCAUUAACAAGAAUUGACAUGCUCCCACCCACACACACCUUCGUCCAAGCCAUUCAUUUUGAACAAAAACCUACUCUCCUCAACAUAUACUCCAAAAAUCCCCAACCCACCGAGUCAUAAGCCUUCUCAAAAUCAACCUUUAGAAUCAAACAUUCUCGGUACAUUUUCUUAGCAUAAUCCACGAAUUCAAUUAGAGUUUAAUGAUUUCGUCGUGGUUUUAAAUUGCGGUUUCGGUCUUGGUCGUUGCAAUUGUGGACAGUAGGUUUCGGAUGCCGUUGCAGAGGCUAUCACAACGACGAUAUUGUGGCCGUAGUUGCGGAUGCCGUCCGAAAUUGUGGUUGUCGCUGCUCUCACCAGGAAUCUAACCAGAUGAUUUCCACCGGAAUGGGCAAACCUCAGUGAUUUUUGUUAAAUCCUAAGAAGGUAUUAUUUUGUAUGCUUUAUGUCUCGGUCAUUAUGUGCCAUCUUCACUCUCAUUUCUAUGCAUAUAAACACAGUGGCUUGAAUUAAUAUUUUUCUAAAGCAUAUAAUAAAGUAUUAAAAAGUUAGGUCAUAAUAUUAAUAGUGCUACUAAUAUGAAAUGUGAAACCAACAAAAUUCUUAGUCAAGGACAUGUGUCGUAACGUCAAAAGAAAAGGACAUGUGUCGUGGACUUUAUAAAGUGCAGCAUAUCAAAUCAAAUCAUACUUCUUUCCUUCUCACCGAAAUCUCUUCUUCUUUUAUCAUCUUCUCCUACUUUCUUUUUUCCACCAAUUAUUACUCUACACAGAAAUGGCUACAACUACAGCAAUAAUUCUCUUCACCUUGAUGACACUUUCUCUCAUAUGGGCAUGGAGAAUUUUGAAUUGGAUAUGGUUGAAGCCAAAAAAGCUAGAAAAAGAGCUCAGAGAACAAGGACUUAAAGGAAAUUCAUACAGACUUUUAGUUGGAGACAUAAAAGAUCUUCUUAAGAUAAGAAAGGAAGCAACAUCUAAACCUAUGAAUCUUUCUGAUGAUAUUGUGCCUCGAGUGUAUUCCUUUGUCCAACAAACUGUUGCAAAACAUGGUAUGUCCCUUUUUAUACAAAC
RNAcentral lists this long non-coding RNA (7138 nucleotides) under Medicago truncatula (barrel medic). RNAcentral's name for it is "long non-coding RNA (MTRU_LNC008670)". The stretch from base 5139 to 5366 matches the Rfam family "MIR2630 microRNA precursor family". The record is from RNAcentral. Lineage: Eukaryota; Viridiplantae; Streptophyta; Magnoliopsida; Fabales; Fabaceae.